This 450-nucleotide ribosomal RNA is filed under the name uncultured Sphingobacterium sp. RNAcentral describes it as "bacterial SSU rRNA". It matches the Rfam family "Bacterial small subunit ribosomal RNA", at positions 45 to 494 of the family's 1533-position model. The record is from RNAcentral. Lineage: Bacteria; Pseudomonadati; Bacteroidota; Sphingobacteriia; Sphingobacteriales; Sphingobacteriaceae.
GGCCUAACACAUGCAAGUCGAGGGGUAGAGAGAGCUUGCUUUCUUGAGACCGGCGCACGGGUGCGUAACGCGUAUGCAACCUACCUUUAUCUGGGGGAUAGCCCGAAGAAAUUCGGAUUAACACCGCAUAAAAUCACAGUAUCGCAUGGUACAAUGAUCAAAUAUUUAUAGGAUGAAGAUGGGCAUGCGUGUCAUUAGUUAGUUGGCGGGGUAACGGCCCACCAAGACCACGAUGGCUAGGGGAUCUGAGAGGAUGGCCCCCCACACUGGUACUGAGACACGGACCAGACUCCUACGGGAGGCAGCAGUAAGGAAUAUUGGUCAAUGGAGGCAACUCUGAACCAGCCAUGCCGCGUGCAGGAAGACAGCCCUCUGGGUCGUAAACUGCUUUUAUUCGGGAAUAAACCUACUUACGUGUAAGUAGCUGAAUGUACCGAAGGAAUAAGGAUC